AGGAUGAGAAGCUUCUACCAGGGUUCGAUUCGAGCGCAGCGAGAAAGCGUUGCCGCAGGCAACGACCCGAAGGGCGAAGCGCGCAGCGCUGAGUCAUCCUUCCCCCACCACCA
RNAcentral lists this small RNA (113 nucleotides) under Salmonella enterica. Its description in RNAcentral is "partial RtT sRNA". It matches the Rfam family "RtT RNA", at positions 19 to 130 of the family's 130-position model. Rfam says of the family: This family represents a bacterial cis-regulatory element known as RtT RNA. The exact function of RtT is unknown although it is thought that it may be involved in changing the cellular response in relation to amino acid starvation. Lineage: Bacteria; Pseudomonadati; Pseudomonadota; Gammaproteobacteria; Enterobacterales; Enterobacteriaceae. The record is from RNAcentral. RNAcentral also lists the same sequence under 2 other names.